RNAcentral lists this ribosomal RNA (224 nucleotides) under Methanosarcina sp. enrichment culture clone B01. RNAcentral's name for it is "partial 16S ribosomal RNA". It matches the Rfam family "Archaeal small subunit ribosomal RNA", at positions 57 to 279 of the family's 1478-position model. The record is from RNAcentral. Lineage: Archaea; Methanobacteriati; Methanobacteriota; Methanomicrobia; Methanosarcinales; Methanosarcinaceae.
GUCAUAUGUUCUUCGUGACAUGGCGUACUGCUCAGUAACACGUGCCAUAAUCUGCCCUUGGGUCCGGCAUAACCCCGGGAAACUGGCGAUAAUUCCGGAUAACGCACAUAUGCUGGAAUGCUUUAUGCGUCAAAUGGAUUCGUCUGCCCAAGGAUGGGUCUGCGGCCUAUCAGGUAGUAGUGGGUGUAAUGUACCUACUAGCCGACGACGGGUACGGGUUGUGA